GGCAGCCGCGGUAAUUCCAGCUCCAAUAGCGUAUAUUAAAGUUGUUGCAGUUAAAAAGCUCGUAGUUGAAUUUUGGGUCUGGCCGGGCGGUCCGCCCUCCGGGUGAGCACUGUUCCGACGCCGGGCCUAUCCUUCUGGUGAGUCGGCAUGUCCUUUACUGGGUGUGUCGGGGAACCAGGACCAUUACCCUGAAAAAUUGAGUGUUCAAAGCAGGCGUAUGCUCGGAUACAUUAGCAUGGAAUAAUGAAAUAGGACGCGUGGUGCUAUUUUGUUGGUUUCUAGAACCGCCGCAAUGAUUAAUAGGGAUAGUUGGGGGCAUUAGUAUUCAAUUGUCAGAGGUAGAAAUUCUUGGAUUUAUUGAAGACUAACUUCUGCGAAAGCAUUUGCCAAGGAUGUUUUC
Molecule: ribosomal RNA, 400 nt
Filed under: uncultured Ambispora
Lineage: Eukaryota; Fungi; Glomeromycota; Glomeromycetes; Archaeosporales; Ambisporaceae
Description: SSU rRNA
Rfam family: Eukaryotic small subunit ribosomal RNA
Source: RNAcentral